This is a long non-coding RNA of Eriocheir sinensis (Chinese mitten crab), 3917 nucleotides long. RefSeq lists it as uncharacterized. The transcript is spliced from 2 exons. NCBI's taxonomy places the organism in Eukaryota, Metazoa, Arthropoda, Malacostraca, Decapoda, Varunidae. The record is from RefSeq and is a predicted model, not a curated record.
GGAUGGUAGUGUUGCUGGGUUGUGUUGCAGAGGGGGUAAGAAUGUUUUUUUGUAACUAUUUAUAUUCUUUUAACUUAUAUUCUAUGUUUUUGAUGCCUUGGAAACAUCGAAGCUAACACAACACUUCUAUAAACACACAAACAACUGAGGCAGGGAUGGUAGUGUUGCUGGGUUGUGUUGUGAGGGCAGGAAGGGGUAACUAUGCUUUCUUUUCUAACUUAAAGAUAUUAUUUAUGCCUCUGGAGAAGUCUAAGCUAAAGCAACACCUCUAAAAACACACAAACAACCAAGCCAUGGGUGUUUGAGUUGCUGGACUGUGUUGCGAAGGUGUUUUUUUUACAUAUUUCUAUUUAUUUAACUUCUGUUCUUUGUUUUUGAUGCCUCUAGAAAUGUCCCAGCUAAAGCAACACACCUAAAGGAAACGAAACACUUGAGGCAGGAGUGGUAGUGUUGCUGUGUUGCUAGAAAGAAGAGUGAGUUUUUUACGAUCAAUUUCCUUAUUAUUUUUACUCCUUGGAACAAGUUAGACCACAAGCAACACUUCUAGAAACACAAAACUAACCGAAGUAGGAAUAUUGACAAGUGUUGCUGCCUAGUGUUGUGACCUGGUUAUGAUUUUGUGUUUCCUGACUAAUUUUAUUCACAUACUAUUUAAUAUUUAUGGUUCUCAGGGCUCGUCAAAACUGUACCUACAAGAAUAUCAAGUGUCAAAGUGGAAGUGGUUGUGUUGUGUUUUGUGUUGCAUUGUGUUGUGAGAAGAUAGUGUUAGUUCUUCAAUCUGUUUAUUUAUUUCCAGUAGAGUAUUGCCAAACUGAAGCAACACAAAUAUAGGAAUACUUAAAGAUGGAAGAGUAUUGUUGUGUUGUUUUGUGUUGCGAGGAGUUUGUGUUUCUUCCUCAGUUUGUGUUUCUGAUGUCAUUUUGUGUUUCUUAUGUCAUUUUGUGUUUCGUAUGUCAUUUUGUGUUUCUUAUGUCAUUUUGUGUUUCGUAUGUCAUUUUGUUUCUUUAUGUCAUUUUGUGUUUCUUUGUCAUUUUGUGUUUCUUUGUCAUUUUGUGUUUCUUAUGUCAUUUUGUGUUUCUUUGUCAUUUUGUGUUUCUUUAUGUCAUUUUGUGUUUCUUUAUGUCAGUUUGUGUUUCUUCCCUGCCAAGUAUGUUUAAAAUGAAGCAAAACAAUCACAUCAAUAACUAAGGGAGAAGUGUUUUUAAUUGUGAUGUUUUGUGUUGCUGCGAGUAGUUUGUGUUCUAUUUGUAUGUUGGUUUGCGUAUUUUCAGCAACACUUCCACAAACACAUGAGUAACUAAAGGGAGGACUGGAAGUGUACAUUGCUGCCUUGUGUUGCAGGGAGAAUGUUUUUUGCUUUACUUCUCUACGGCAAUGUGUUUCUUUUUCACGGCAACACAAAUGCAAAAAAACUGAAGCACGGAUGAUAGUGUUGCAUUGUGCUGCAUGUACAAUGUUUUUCUUUAAUUACUGUACAGAUAACGUGCAGACAACAUACACAAUGAAAGAACUGUAUACCUACGUUUAUUAUAAAGUUUGUCGGUAUCAUUUUCAGUUUUUUUUUUAAUAGUACAGUCGUCCCUCAAAUAGUACAGUUUCCAAUAGUUCGGUUUUGGUUUUAUGUGGAUUUUCUAAGAAGAUUUUUAAGGAUUUUUAAAUAUCCCAAUGAGCAGGAAAUUUAAAAAUCCUAAAGGAUCUUCUAUGACAAUCCAUAUAAAACCGUAACUGAACUAUUGGAAACCGUACUAUUUGAGGGAGGACUGUAAUUUUAUUGUAUACUGGUAUUUAUCGUAUGUAUCUUCAAGCAACGGUCCACCCUUCCCCCUUUUUAAUCUGUUAAAUCGAGGGUUGAGUGUACUUCUCUACUUCAGUUUGUGUAUUUUUUCCCGGCAACACAAAUACAUAAACAGAACAUUGGGUGAUAGUGUUGCGUUGCGUCAUCCUGUGUUGCGGAAAAUGUGUUCUUCCUGAUCUCGGUUUGUGUUGCUUUUCGGAAACACAUGGACCUGGGGAACCUUAUGCAUCCACUGCCUUUGUGUUAGUGUUAGAAUGGGUCUUUUUGUGUUCGUCUGUUUGUGUUUCUUACGGAGGCCAGUUCUGGGGUAAUGUUGCUAGUUCUGGAAUUUCUGGAAUCGUCGGUUUUCACUUAACGUUAAAAGUGAUUUGGGGUUGUGAUGUCGUUUCUGGAAUUUUGGGAAUGGUUGUUUUGUUAACGAUGAAAGUAAUUUUGGAUAUCGUUGUUUCUGGAAUUUCUGGAAUCGUCAGUUUUUAGUUAAUAAUGAAAGUAAUUUGGGGUAAUUUUGUUUUUUUCUGGAAUUUCGGGAAUUGUCAGUUUAAGUAAACGAUAAAAGUAGUUUUGGGUAAUUUUGCUAUAUUUGAAAUUUUGGGAAUCUUUGUUUUUUAGUUAGUGGUAAAAGUAAUUUGGAGUAAUGUAAUAUAUUGGAAUUUUGGGAAUCAUUUUUUUUAGUUAAUAAUGAAAGUAAUUUGGGGUAAUAAUGUUAUAUUUAGAAUUUCAGGAUUCAUCAUUAUUUAGUUAGUGCUAAAAGUAAUUUGGGGUAAUGGUAAGUCUGGAAUUUUGGGAAUCGUCAGUUUUUAAAAAGGUAAUUUGUGAAGGUAAUUUGAGGUUAUGUUGUUAUUUUUGGAAUUUCAGGAAUCGUCAGUUUUCAGUUAACAAGGAAAGCAAUUUGGGGUAAUGUUACUUGGUCAGGAAUCUCGGGAAUCGUCGGUGUUUAAAUAGCAAUGAGAGACAAUUUUGGGGUACUGUUAUUAAGUUGGAAUUCUCGGAGUUGAGUUUUCGGGUAGCGACGAAAGGUAAUUCAUUUUUUUCUGGACCGUAAACUCCAACUACCUAACAUAAUGAAUAAUAAACAUCUUCCUUCUAUUCUUGUAUAUAAAAGGGAGUAGAAGUUAGGUUAUCAUGGGUGACUGACGUAAAAGACUUCUCACCAGAACACACUAUAGAUGUUAGCAUUAAUGGGCAUAUAAUAGUCUUAAGCAAACCUCUUCCUAGACUUAGCUUUUUGUUAACGAUACACUUGUUACCAGAUAAGGGGAUGAGGGUAGACGUAAGUUUUGUAAGUACGUGACUAACACUAACUGUCUUAUUAUUAUUACUACUAUGUACUUAAAAGCGUCUAAUGAGGAGGGAAGGUUCCGUUAGCACAAAUCAAUGGUAAAUAUAAUGAAAGUUCCUACAAUGCAAGUUUAUCAUAUUGCUUCACUUGGAUGAGUUAUGAAUUUUGUGUAUUUAUAGUGAAGGGUGUUUUGGCCUGUUGGUGUACACUGUUUUCAUGAGUAUUUAGCUUGCAGAAAAAACGGCUUCGGAAAAUUGUGUAGACGUGUGAAAAUGAUUACGUAAUGGCAAAGAAUUGAGUGAUAAGCAUUUUUUAUGGUAAUUUAAGCUGAAUGAAAAUGAAAUACGUAAUGGAAUGCAAAUGGAAAUGGUAUGAAAAUGAAAAUGGUAUGAAAAUGAAAAUAUGAAAAUGACAAUGGUAUGAAAAUGGUAUGAAAUUGAAAAUAUGAAAAUGACAAUGGUAUGAAAAUGGUGUGAAAACGAAAAUAUGAAAAUGAAAAUGGUAUGAAAAUGAUCUAUGUAAUAACAAAGAACAGACAUUUUUUAGUGUAACUUCACCUCAUAUAUUUAGAUUAGUUUUCAUCACUCAAAAUUAAUAUGAACUAGAAAAAGUACGUACGAAUAGGCAGAUAUACCCCACGCAGAUGAAAAGACUCAACUUCGUGUUCUAAAAUGCCGUUAAUUUAUAUAUCCGAUUAACAGCCACGGAGGUCUUGUUAGUUUCUGUCAUUUUUGUGUCACAUCCGUUUUGUUUCAGUGCUGUUGUUGUACGAUCAAAUGGAUCCUAGCUUUUGUUACUGUACAUAUAUACACGAAUCAAAUAUACAUGACAUACAAGACUUUA